This 5591-nucleotide unclassified non-coding RNA is filed under the name Ooceraea biroi (clonal raider ant). RNAcentral describes it as "protein lap4, transcript variant X7". The record is from RNAcentral. Lineage: Eukaryota; Metazoa; Arthropoda; Insecta; Hymenoptera; Formicidae.
AUGUUCCGCUGCAUUCCGAUUUUUAAAGGGUGUAACAGGCAGGUGGAAUACGUUGACAAGCGUCACUGCUCACUGCCGUGCGUCCCCGACGAUGUCCUGCGAUACUCGCGGAGUCUGGAGGAGCUCCUGCUCGACGCGAAUCACAUUCGCGAUUUGCCGAAAAAUUUCUUUCGACUUCAGAGGCUACGGAAACUCGGCUUGAGUGACAAUGAGAUACAUCAUUUGCCGCCGGACAUCCAGAAUUUCGAGAAUCUCGUGGAGCUGGACGUGUCCAGAAACGAUAUAGAACACAUUCCUGAUGACAUCAAGAAUUUACGGGCGCUACAGGUGGCGGAUUUCAGCAGCAAUCCUAUUCCAAGCCUUCCAGCAGGAUUUGUACAACUGAGAAAUCUAACUGUACUUGGGCUUAAUGAUAUGUCCCUUACGAACUUGCCACCUGAUUUUGGAAGUUUGGAGGCGUUACAGUCACUGGAAUUAAGAGAAAAUUUGCUCAAAUCUUUGCCUGAAUCGCUCUCCCAGCUUUCCAAACUUGAACGACUGGAUCUCGGUGAUAAUGAGAUCGAGGAAUUACCUGCACAUAUCGGAAGAUUACCAGCGCUACAGGAAUUGUGGCUUGAUCAUAAUCAGCUGCAACACUUGCCACGUCAAAUAGGCGAUCUCAAAACACUAGCGUGCUUAGAUGUUUCGGAAAAUCGUUUAGAAGAUCUUCCUAACGAGAUUGGUGGUCUCGAAUCAUUGACAGACUUACAUUUAUCACAGAACGUUAUCGAAAACUUACCCGACGGACUUGGUGAACUGAGGAAGCUAACUAUACUCAAAGUAGAUCAAAAUAGACUUUCUACUUUAAAUCCAGCUAUAGGAAAGUGCGAGAAUUUGCAAGAGUUAAUUCUUACGGAGAAUUUUCUUUUAGAGCUGCCAAUAUCUCUAGGCAAUCUUCACAAUUUAAAUAAUUUAAAUGUUGAUAGGAAUAGCCUGCAAUCUUUACCGUUAGAAAUUGGAAACCUGAAAAAGUUGGGUGUACUGUCCUUAAGAGACAAUAAAUUACAAUAUCUUCCAGCUGAAGUAGGGCAAUGUAAUGCCCUGCAUGUCCUGGAUGUAUCUGGCAAUAGGUUACAUUAUUUACCAUACUCUUUAAUUAAUCUGAAUCUAAAGGCGGUAUGGUUGAGCGAAAAUCAGGCGCAACCAAUGCUGACGUUUCAAACGGACGUCGACGAGGAAACUGGACAGGAAGUAUUGACGUGUUUCCUUCUGCCACAAUUGGAAUUCCAUCCUGAUGAUUCAAGUAGAUUGGGAAUGCUGGUCGGUAUGAGAAAUAUUCCAGGGUGCGAAAUGCGUGAGUUGGCAAGUAGCGAUGACGAAGGCUGGCAGGAGAGAGAAGCAUCGCGUACGCACUCGGUGAAAUUCACGGAUGAGCCGCCGGAGAUCGACAAGGAGACUCUUUUCGUACGUCAAAACACGCCGCAUCCAAAGGAAUUGAAAGCUAAGGCACACAAGUUAUUUAGUAAGGGGAAAAGCGAUAGUCGGUCGGGCUCUACGGAUGAGCAGGAUGUUUCUCAAACAUUUGGAUUAGAUAAAGCCGAAUCAGAAAUGCCGGUAAAUUCUAUAGACAUGCCGCAAUCUGUCUCUGAGCAAGAGGGACAUGUGGAAUAUACUGUACAAGAUGAUCGUAAGCUAUCAACGUCUGCCGUCGAACCAGACAGCACGGAUGUUCAAUCUAAAGAGGCAGACAAUAUUCCUGCUGUUCAGUAUGCCGCAGAGCAUCACGCAAACGCGAGAGCUGAAAAUUCUGUUUCGGAAUUGAAAGAGAAAGAAGAGGAAGAGGUGUUCGAAACUGAAGAGAAGCACGUUGAAUUCGACAUCGCAGAGGACGGAAGUAAGGAAGACGCUUCCGAUCCCGAUAAGCCCAAUAAACUUCAGCGUAGAGACACUCCGCAUCAUCUGAAAAAUAAACGCAUCAAUACGGCGGUUGAUAAAGAGAAAGUUGCCUCCAUUAUUGCACAGGUGCUUAUGAAGAAAGCUGAUGAGCCUCCUGCACCUGUUCCACCGCAAGUAGAACCUACGGAAACAUACGACACACACAAUCAAGAUGCAACGUCCGACAUUGAACCAGCAGUGGAAAUACGAGAGGAGCAAUAUGAAAUUCACAUAGAGAGGACGGCAGGUAGCGGACUAGGGCUGUCGAUAGCUGGCGGUUUCGGAUCGACGCCUUUCAAAGGCGAUGACGAAGGCAUUUUUAUUUCAAAAGUUACCGAAGGUGGACCUGCAGACUUGGCUGGUCUGAGGGUAGGAGAUAAAGUAAUAUCUGUGAAUGGAAUAUCAGUUGUGAAUGUAGAACAUUACGCUGCCGUGGAAGUAUUGAAAGCAUGCGGACGUGUCCUCGUGUUGGUUGUCAUAAGAGAAGUCACAAGGAUAAUCCCACCGUACGAGACGUCGACGAGAAAAGAUUCCGUGUGCUCCAGCUUGAGCACAAGUAGAGCACCAAGUGCAACGUCCUACGUCUCAUCUACAGCGUUGUCACACACUUUAGAAAAUGGCGACACAUCUUUGCCUCAUGAAAGUGUGAAGACGAAAAAGAUUCCCGAGCCUAUAACCGCUAUAAAAGCGAACAGUGAGCCCAUAGUGUCCGUACUUUUUCAUACGACGUUGAUUCGAGAUCAGAAUGGAUUGGGAUUCAGCAUCGCCGGUGGAGAAGGUUCACCGCCAUUUAAGGAUAACAACGACGCGAUAUUUAUUUCGAGAAUUACGGACGGUGGAGUUGCCCAGAAAGACGGGAAAUUGUUAGUUGGUGACAAAGUAAUAUCCAUUAAUGGAGCAGAUAUGAGAGGAGCGAAGCACGAACAAGCGGUAGCUUUACUCACUGGCUUGGAAAGAUUCGUUCGAUUAGUAGUCGAGCGGGAAAUACCAUUUUCUCAAGCAAAUCCUGCCACCGUCGUGACUCCUUCCGAGAAAUCGCCACGCGUCAUAGGGACACCGAAACCUUACACGGGUCUGUACAGUGCUAACAGUUACAUGGCGAACAGACCUGGAUAUGGUGGAUACCGUCGGUCUAUGGAUGCCGAUAAAGCUUUGUCACCAAGUCCUACCUCGAAAACGCCACCAUCUCCUUCGUCGUUACCCGCAGAUUCCGAUAUCGCUAACGACACGCCGAAAAUGAACGGCGUAACCGAAACGGGAAACAUGCAGAAGACCGUUCCGUCGACAAGUCCCGGUCCGGUAAUUAAUCAGGCGCAUCCGCAGCCAGCACCAAGGCACAGCGUCUCGCAGACGAGUACCACGCCCACGAGUAACGCUGGUUCCGCAACUGCGACUUCCGAGCCUAGACCGGCGUCCCCGCAGGAGGACAUACAGGUACCGAAGCCAAUCACCAACGAGGAAUUUCAAGCUAUGAUCCCCGCUCAUUUCCUUCGACCUCCAAAAUCCUCGCCUUCGCCAGACUCCAAUCAGGGCCCCAUUGUGACAGUCACGAUAAAGCAGCCAGAGACUUUGCCUGGAGAUGUUAGUUUUCCUCCGGCCCCCACCACACUCGGCAAAGUUACCGAGAGCAUCACAAAGAGCACCCUCACCGAGACCGUCGUAACUAGAGUGACCGACAACCAGUUGGUGCAACCACUUAUUAUCGAGGAUGUUGUUCUCGUGAAAGAAGGUUCUUUGGGAUUCAGUAUCAUAGGUGGUACCGAUCACUCGUGUACACCGUUUGGUGCGAAAGAACCAGGAAUUUUUAUAUCACACGUUGUUCCUGGUGGCAUAGCAGCCAAGUCUGGAAAAUUGAGAAUGGGUGAUAGGAUAUUAAAGGUAAACGGUACGGACGUGACGAAGGCUACUCAUCAGGAAGCAGUAAUGGAGCUUUUAAGACCAGGAGAUCAGAUCGUGCUUACCAUUCAACAUGACCCGCUUCCAGAAAAUUAUCAGCUGGUCGAAAUAGAGUACAUCCCUGUGACAGAAUUAGUGAUAACGAAAGAAGCUGGUGAGAAGCUUGGUAUGCAUAUUAAGGGCGGACGAAGAGGGCAGAAGGGCAAUCCGCUUGAUCAUUCUGAUGAGGGCGUUUUUAUAUCAAAAAUUAAUUCGGGUGGUGCAGCGAAAAGAGAUGGACGACUCAAGGUUGGUAUGAGGCUACUGGAAGUCAAUGGUACAUCGUUAUUAGGUGCGACGCAUCAAGAAGCUGUCAAUAUACUUCGGUGCUCAGGGAAUACGAUUACCUUAGUUGUGUGUAAGGGUUAUGAUAAAAGUGAAAUGGAACCAAUAUUGCCGAUGUCUGACGGAGAUCCCAAGGAAGCGGAAGAGUCUCACGAGUCUAGGGAUCCGGCCGCAGACGGUACCAAGUCCUCGUCGCAAAGCGUGUCUAGCUUAGAUCGAGACGACGAGGAAGCUGCGAUCCUCAGGCAAGAGCAAGAGAUGAAGGCUGAGCUCGUUGCUUGGGAACAGGAGGAACGAGAACGAGCGCUCGUAGAGCAAAGGGAGAAAUCUACACCCGAAAAAGUAUUGGACGUUGUACGAGCAGCAGAAUCACUAGUGAGCAAAUCGAAUAGUCCUGUCGACAUGGUUGUACCACCAAAGUCACCCGGGGGUACCAAGGAUCUCAAAACUACCACCAUUGUCAUGAGUAAACAUACGUUAGCAACACAAAAUCCCAAUUCGAGGACGAAUGAGACAUCUGGAACGUCGAAGGAUUUUUCCUUGUCAAAAUCGUCCACAAUCCCUACUCCCGCUAGAGCAGCGCAUAUUGAACGUUGCAGUACUUCCAUGCAUACCUUGCCCUCUCCGAAAAAGAAAUCUUUGCCAAAGCGCAGUAUCACAUUUGCUGAUUUGCCAACGAAUUUAAAAAAACGUUCAGAUUAUCCGUACCGUGACGAGCCCACGGUGACCGAAGAACAACCGAUUCAGCCGUUGCAGGAAACAUUUACUUACCCUUCGCGAGUCACGUCCUAUGAAACACCUGUACCUGCACGUUUCCCACUUCCCCCGACGCCUCUAACUGCUCCCGAAUGCUGGGGAGACACUUCGGCUUCCUUUAACAAGCGACAGAUAGCACGCUCUGUUGAUGGGAAUCGGGUUGAGCAAUCUCCAACUUCAUCUCCGACGCCACCGUUGACAAAAAUGUCAGUCAGCGAUAAAAAGAAGUUAUUUGAGAGUGCCAUGGAAGAACAUAUGAAACCAUCGCCUAAAUCAGAUAAAAUAUUUAGUUUUCUAAGUCAGGAUGAGGUAGAAAAAAUGAGACAAGAGGAAGAAAAAAAGAUAGCAACAUUGACGCGAGACGAGCUCAAGUCAUGGGCGCAACUUGACGAAAACGAAGGUCUCGAAGAUUUGGACACGAUGAUAGAUGAUCAGGAUAAUGGACGACCUAAGGCCUUAUAUCGGAUGAAGAUGAAGAACAUCUUUUAAGUCCGGCCGAACAGCGAGCGCUUAGAGCAGAAAAGCGUGCAGCUUGGCGACAAGCGCGUCUUAAAUCUCUUGAGCAGGAUGCACUUCAGGCACAAAUGGUGAUUAAAAAGAUGAGCGAAAUAAUGGAUACUAACAAAGCUGAAGAUACACGCGGUACCGCGGAACUUGCUGAAUCCACCGAUCCCACUUCCGAUCAAGAGAAGGCGGUCGAA